GACUAAAAGAUGUCAACUCGGCCAGGCAGAACCAAGAAAGUGGUGAAAUGCUCUAUAAUGGACAGGACUUUAAACUGAAUAACUUGGAGGUUGGUGCUCUCUGCGAUGAUCUUAUAUCAGACCAUAGAACCUUUUCUACCAUAAUGCCUGUAUCACAAGACUUUGUUCAAAGUGUAAAUGGUCAGUCUCCACAUGCGGACUCUAGUAUAUCUGGCUGUGGUGAUGCCGUGGUAGAAGUAGAUGCUCCCAGCCACAGUGAGUUUAUGGAGCCCAGAGCAUCACAACCAGUCUUAACUCCACCACAAAGCUAUUCUGAUCCCAGUUAAUUUAUUGAAGAGGUUGGAAUCAGAUGGUGAGGAAGGCUUAGAUUUCAGAUUGGUGUACAACUUGCAAUUUCCCCAAGAGGCCACCUUGACACCUGAAAUGUGCCCAGAACAUGGAGUAUUUGACCCAAGUUGGAAUUAUAACAACCCCCCAGUGCCUAAACCAAGAAAGGCAUCACUUCCUGUGAUUGACAAAGGGCUAGACUCAACAUCUCAAUGGAAACCAUGUAUUUAACCCUCUGCCCUGAUAGUGAUUCAGACCCUGACCCUAGACUCGCACCAGAAGUCAUGCCAGAGUUCAGCACUCAUCCGAAGCCUCAAACCUGUGAAGGACCACAGCAAUAUCCACAACAACAAACCCCUCACAGCUCAACAGGCAUCAUUACGCAAUAACCCUUUGGAGUCCCGUGAGCAGUCCUCUCUAGACAAUUCCUCUGUUGAAUCAACAUUAACACCUGUUGACUCUGCAGGUGUUCAGAUAGAAAUCCAGACAGAAAUCCAACCUCUCCCAGAAAUCUGAGGAUAUUUCAAUGGCACAUUCUGGGUUUAAUUCUGAAGAGCUACCUCGUAUGUUUGCUGAAGUGAUAUCUGGAUCAUGUGAACCAAGCGGAGCUGAUGAGUGGAGAGAAGUAGAGCCCUGAUGGGUUUCAGAGGUGUAGGACUGCAAGGAGGGCCAUCUCUAGGUCACCUGUCAAUCAACCCAAUGUCCAAAUAACCACCAGAGACAUGACCAAUUUCAAUACUCCAAUAGUGCUGGACACAGGAUCUGGUUUGAGAAAAAGAAGGGUUUGCUGAUCAGGACCUCCCAAAUACUAUAUUUCCAAAU
Molecule: long non-coding RNA, 1149 nt
Organism: Oncorhynchus tshawytscha (Chinook salmon)
Lineage: Eukaryota; Metazoa; Chordata; Actinopteri; Salmoniformes; Salmonidae
Source: Ensembl